Molecule: ribosomal RNA, 396 nt
Filed under: uncultured bacterium
Lineage: Bacteria
Description: bacterial SSU rRNA
Rfam family: Bacterial small subunit ribosomal RNA
Source: RNAcentral
GGGAAUAUUGCACAAUGGGGGGAACCCUGAUGCAGCGACGCCGCGUGAGUGAAGAAGUAUUUCGGUAUGUAAAGCUCUAUCAGCAGGGAAGAAAAUGACGGUACCUGAAUAAGAAGCCCCGGCUAACUACGUGCCAGCAGCCGCGGUAAUACGUAGGGGGCAAGCGUUAUCCGGAUUUACUGGGUGUAAAGGGGGCGCAGACGGCAGCGCAAGCCAGGAGUGAAAGCCCGGGGCCCAACCCCGGGACUGCUCUUGGAACUGCGCGGCUGGAGUGCAGGAGGGGCAGGCGGAAUUCCUGGUGUAGCGGUGAAAUGCGUAGAUAUCAGGAGGAACACCAGUUGCGAAGGCGGCUCUCUGGACUGUAACUGACACUGAGGCACGAAAGCGUGGGGAGCA